Molecule: ribosomal RNA, 619 nt
Filed under: Fusarium culmorum CS7071
Lineage: Eukaryota; Fungi; Ascomycota; Sordariomycetes; Hypocreales; Nectriaceae
Description: eukaryotic large subunit ribosomal RNA
Source: RNAcentral
GUCGGUUGCACGAGCCGAAGCAGAAUUCGGUAAGCGUUGGAUUGUUCACCCACUAGACUACAGGGUCUCAACUGUUCCGUCCUUUUAUAUAAUCGGCGGGCAGAAAUAUACAACCCUAUGGUGGGGAUAGUUGGGUCGCUUGAGUGUGGAAGCGAUUACGCCAGCUAGUCGACACAGCAAACAUCUGCAGGCGCUGUGCGGCAACACAACCUGGAUCGGGGAAAGCUAAGGUUCUACGGAGCUAUGACAAUCCCGAGCGGAACUGCAGUUUGAGCGAUCUUGCUGCAAUGGCCCGUGUAGAGCGCGGAAAGGUGUGGGCGAAUCUCACUGACACUGAGAAUUGCUUAAGGGACAUGCCAGACCCCCGGGAAACCGGGUCCUACGGAUGAGCGCCUGCAGCGUGAAUCCAACAGGAACGCGAGCAUUGCGCUUUAUAUGAGAUGGGCAGCAAUCGAGAGCGGCCAGCAGGAAAUUUACUGGACGCGAGCAUCGGUAUAACUCAGAGCAAGGCUCAUUGCAAAGUCGAAGGAAUUCGCUGGACCAAUAAGUCAAUCAAGUAUGCCUCUCUGGGGAUCGAAUAGGGAACGUGAGCUGGGUUUAGACCGUCGUGAGACAGGUU